ACCUGUGAAGAUGCAGGUUACCCGCGACAGGACGGAAAGACCCCAUGGAGCUUUACUGUAGCUUGAUAUUGGGUGUUGACACAGCUUGUACAGGAUAGGUCGGAGCCGUAGAACUCGGAACGCUAGUUUCGAGUGAGGCGCUGGUGGGAUACGACCCUCGCUGUGUGAACACUCUAACCCGCACCACUUAUCGUGGUGGGAGACAGUGUCAGGUAGGCAGUUUGACUGGGGCGGUCGCCUCCUAAAAAGUAACGGAGGCGCCCAAAGGUUCUCUCAGAAUGGUUGGAAAUCAUUCGUCGAGUGUAAAGGCAGAAGA
This 316-nucleotide ribosomal RNA is filed under the name Lactiplantibacillus argentoratensis. Its description in RNAcentral is "partial 23S ribosomal RNA". It matches the Rfam family "Bacterial large subunit ribosomal RNA", at positions 2049 to 2364 of the family's 2925-position model. The record is from RNAcentral. Lineage: Bacteria; Bacillati; Bacillota; Bacilli; Lactobacillales; Lactobacillaceae.